Molecule: transfer RNA, 72 nt
Filed under: Camelus bactrianus (Bactrian camel)
Lineage: Eukaryota; Metazoa; Chordata; Mammalia; Artiodactyla; Camelidae
Also listed under: 3 other names
Rfam family: tRNA
About the family: Transfer RNA (tRNA) molecules are approximately 80 nucleotides in length.
Source: Rfam by way of RNAcentral
GAGGGUACAGCUCAGUGGCAGAGCACAUGCUUAGCAUACAUGGGGUCCUGGGCUCAAUCCCCAGUACCUCCA